This 492-nucleotide ribosomal RNA is filed under the name uncultured bacterium. RNAcentral's name for it is "partial 16S ribosomal RNA". It matches the Rfam family "Bacterial small subunit ribosomal RNA", at positions 30 to 507 of the family's 1533-position model. The record is from RNAcentral.
AGUGAACGCUGGCGGUAGGCCUAACACAUGCAAGUCGAACGGCAGCACAGUAAGAGCUUGCUCUUACGGGUGGCGAGUGGCGGACGGGUGAGGAAUACAUCGGAAUCUACUUUUUCGUGGGGGAUAACGUAGGGAAACUUACGCUAAUACCGCAUACGACCUACGGGUGAAAGCAGGGGAUCUUCGGACCUUGCGCGAUUGAAUGAGCCGAUGUCGGAUUAGCUAGUUGGCGGGGUAAAGGCCCACCAAGGCGACGAUCCGUAGCUGGUCUGAGAGGAUGAUGAGACACACUGGAAGUGAGACACGGUCAAGACUCCUAAGGGAAGCAGAAGUGGGGAAUAGUGGAGAAUGGGGGGAAGGCUGAAACAGCCAUACAGAGGGGGAGAAGAAGGCCUUCGGGUUGGAAAGCCCUUUUGUUGGGAAAGAAAAGCAGAAGGUUGAUAACCCGCUGGCCAGACGGGGCGGAAAGAAUAAGCACCGGCUAACUUCAUG